RNAcentral lists this long non-coding RNA (1445 nucleotides) under Anser cygnoides (Swan goose). RNAcentral describes it as "lncRNA (ENSACDG00005011091.1)". Lineage: Eukaryota; Metazoa; Chordata; Aves; Anseriformes; Anatidae. The record is from RNAcentral.
CUGCCAUGGGCAGGGACACCUCCCACCAGACCAGGUUGCCCAAAGCCCCAUCCAGCCUGGCCUUGAGCACCUCCAGGGAUGGGGCACCCACAGCUGCUCUGGGCAGCCUGUGCCAGGGCCUUAACGCCCUCACAGUAAAGAAUUUCUUCCUAAUAUCUAAUUUAAUCUCCCCUCUUUUAGUUCAAAACCAUUCCUCCUUGUCUUGUCAUUAUCUAACUGAGCAAAAAGUUGCUCUCCAUCUUUUCUUUAAGCCUCCUUUAAGUACUGGAAAGCUGCAAUAAGGUCACCCUGGAGCUUUCUCUUCUUCAGGCUGAACAGCCCCAGCUCUCUCAACCUUUCUUCAUAUGAUAAAAUUCUCUCUAUAUUAAUUCAGCAAAUUGUGAUGGUUGUUGCUGUGGAUCCACUGAAUAAAUAAUCUUAAUGUACCGCUAUCCUGAUCUGCUGGAGGACUGCAAAGGAAUCCAAAUCUAACAGUGAGCCUGCCUCCAAAUUUGCAUCUCUAUCCGCAGUUAUAGGUAAGAGCAUUUUUGAGUGGAGUUAUAAGCAAAGGAGCUACUGCAAGAUGUCCAGAAACCAGUGGGUUGCCUGGCAGACCAAAGCAAGUUUGGUGCUGGGAGGGCAGUGUCUCUAGGAGAGGAAGAAGCUGUCUAUUCCCCUGCCCUGGUCCCCAGCCAAGAAGAGCACCUGGACAUCUAACGAAGGCUGGCAGCUGGGAGGACAAGUGUGGGGCCAAUAUAGCCUGCUUGUGAGGCCAUUAAAAAGCAGCUGGGUGUGAAAAGAUAGACCUGUGAUGCUGCCAAGUUCAGCCAGACCAGUGGCAUGAUGAGCUUCCCAGUUGGUAAUCUGUGCAUUACUGCAGAGCUGCAUGUGGAGGCUUUGCCAUUUUUUCCCAACAUAUUGAGCCAUUACAGACGCAGCUCACCUGGACUAGCCCAUAGAUGGAAAGGCAUCCCAGCUUCAGGAGUGAACUUCCACUUCUGCCCUUGCAAACAGAGGCUGUUGGUGAGGAAGAGGGAAUCUGCAGCAGUUGAAGAGCAAGAGGUGGUGCUGUUGUGCUCAUGGCACACAGCUGGAGAGCCGGCUAUACUGCCACAGGGACAACAUGGAAAGACUUUUUGGCAUGGUGGCUCACCUUAAAGUGCCUGAAGUCGACCUGUCCAAUCAUCCAGCAUCUAGCCUUUUUAUUUGUUCUUGUUGCUCAUUUUACCUCCAAUAUAUUCUGAUAAACAAAAGAAAUGACAGUGGCAGACAAGGUUCUACACUGAAAUUAAACACAGCUGAUCUUUAUGUGUAGGCUCACACAAAGUAACUUUCGCCCCUUGCCCACGAAGCUGCAGAAACAGCAGGAAGUCUGGCUGAAUCUGAGUAGCAGCAAUCCAAGGGGUAAAAAGAACAGCAAACCACUCACAAAUAAAACUUCCUUCCCUUGUACCUUGGGGAAGGAA